Long non-coding RNA from Ooceraea biroi (clonal raider ant), 844 nucleotides. RefSeq lists it as uncharacterized. Lineage: Eukaryota; Metazoa; Arthropoda; Insecta; Hymenoptera; Formicidae. The record is from RefSeq and is a predicted model, not a curated record.
CCGGCGAACAUAGUCGUGACUACGCAUGCGUUCCGGCACGAUUUCCUCAAGAAAGUCACUGAAAAGUACAAGGACAUUACUUGGCAAUAUAAAAAUUCUAUCCCCCGAAAACUUUCCAGUUUUCUGAGCGAAAAACUCCUCAAGGUGUUGUUUGCAAGCCUCUAAAGAAGUGAAAUUUUUUCCGUUACGUGAAUUCUGCAGAGAUCUGAAUAAGUGGAAACCUGAUGGUGCCAGGUCAAGUAAAUACGGUGGAUGAAGUAGGAUAUCCCAGCCAAGCUGCAGUAAUUUUUGACGGGUUGCCAAAACUAAUAUGAUAUUAUGAACUGUUUGAUAUGUAAACUUACAUGUGCAAAACGGAAGAAAAGAUUUUAAAUAACAAAUUGUCUGAUACAUGUCAGUGACUCAGGACUACAGAGAGUGUAAUAAACUAUUUACGUGAUUCGUAUGAUUUUGUCGUACAUGUCAGGCAAGUUUUCAAUGUCCUUUUGUAGGUUGAUGAUGUUGUUUUGUGAUAAGAAACAUCUCCGCGAUCUCUCUUUUUGUGUUAUGCUUUUCGUAGUGUAAAAUUUUUGGUUUUAACCAAUCAAAUUCAUGAUUGUUAAUAAGGCGAUGUUUGCUAACAACCGAAUGAUCAUUCACAUAUGCUUACAAAAGUUAGAUUUGUGUUCCCUAAUUCUAGUCUCCAAACGUCUUUUAGUUUGGCCAAUAUAAUUCGUGUCACAAUUUAAGCACUCAAUUUUAUAAACUAUUUCAGUACGUUGUAGGUUCGUCAAUGUAUCUUUACUUCUUUUAAUAAUGCAAUCCAGCUUGUAAACCGUAAUAAAGGUACUAACUUGCAUAUUUA